UGGGGAAUAUUGGACAAUGGGGGCAACCCUGAUCCAGCAAUGCCGCGUGUGUGAAGAAGGUUUUCGGAUUGUAAAGCACUUUCGACGGGGACGAUGAUGACGGUACCCGUAGAAGAAGCCCCGGCUAACUUCGUGCCAGCAGCCGCGGUAAUACGAAGGGGGCUAGCGUUGCUCGGAAUGACUGGGCGUAAAGGGCGUGUAGGCGGUUUGUACAGUCAGAUGUGAAAUCCCCGGGCUUAACCUGGGAGCUGCAUUUGAUACGUGCAGACUAGAGUGUGAGAGAGGGUUGUGGAAUUCCCAGUGUAGAGGUGAAAUUCGUAGAUAUUGGGAAGAACACCGGUGGCGAAGGCGGCAACCUGGCUCAUAACUGACGCUGAGGCGCGAAAGCGUGGGGAGCAAACAGGAUUAGAUACCCUGGUAGUCCACGCUGUAAACGAUGUGUGCUAGAUGUCGGGUAACUUAGUUAUUCAGUGUCGCAGUUAACGCGUUAAGCACACCGCCUGGGGUAGUACGGCCGCAAGGUUGAAAC
RNAcentral lists this ribosomal RNA (529 nucleotides) under uncultured bacterium. RNAcentral's name for it is "partial 16S ribosomal RNA". It matches the Rfam family "Bacterial small subunit ribosomal RNA", at positions 355 to 900 of the family's 1533-position model. The record is from RNAcentral.